UUACAUCAUUCGCAUAUUUUAUAGUAAUAUUAAAUCAUACGAGUAAUGAAAUAUGAAAUAUAAAAUGAACGUCUUUAAGCGUACUUCCGAUAACACGUGUAAUAUGAUAUGUCUAUAUGUUAGAAUAUUCAUGUGUCCAAACGUUCUAAGAAUUAACAGCAGAUGCGUAUAAUAGCAAUUACUUUUUAUUCACUGCGAAAACCAGCGGUCCCCACACACUGCAAUAAUCACAUUUCGCAAGCAUUAGUUCAGUAAUAUAUACACAUAAAGAAAGCUACAGCGGCAGCUAGAAAUUAGGUGAAAAUAUCUAUACACGUGUAGCAUGAACAUAUCAAUACUUUACUAUAUUAUGAGUACAGACACGUUCAAGACGGUACAUAUAAUACGCACGCACGCUCGCAGAUGCACGAACGCAUACACUCACGCAAACACGCGCGAGGGCACGUCCGCACGCACGCACGCAUGCAGACACAAACGCAUACGCAUUCGUGCGCACGCACGCGCCCACGCGCGCACACACGCUGAACCACCCUAGUAUAAACCUAUAUCCAGGUAAUAUGUAAUUUAUCCGCAAACAAAUCAAGUAUACAAUCUCGGAACUCUUCCAAACACAUUAAACAAUUCAGCGACGUAUAAGUUUAAUCAUCAUACUUGCGCGAGUGUACAAAGCAAAUCGGUGGAAUAAAUACAACACAUCUCGGUUCUGUUUCAUAGUACACAAACAUUCAGCACCUAUACCACCACCUGCCAGACAACCCCCCUCGUAAGAUUGCAAGCCCUGCUUCCAACACACGUACCUACCACAAUUUAUUUCCAAUUACACAGCGAAACAUUGAGAACACAGCGCCCCCUUGAUACGAGACCCCAGCGCGACGGCGGCGCCACCUAGACGAUGCAUGGCGUAAAAAACGAAUCCGCCUUUUGACCCCCUCACUAGAGGUGGGAAGAUUCAUCGAUAAAUCGAUGUAUCAUGAUACAAACCUUACCGGUACACGCAUCGAUACGUUUAUCCAUUCACGAUACACAAUUCGAUGCUCUACUGAAUAAAAUCCAUAUAAUUUAGUAGCAUAGUUUCGUCGAAAAACAAAAGAUACAUGACACAAUUGGCAAUUCAAUAGCAGUUGUUUACUAAGCACUCCACAAUACUGAUUUGUAACCGUUCACCAAGUGUACAGUUUGCCAAGCACCUUCUCCUGAAAGUAUCGUGAUACGUAUUGUGAUAAAUAUCGAUAUAAUCAAAAAGGUGUAUCAUGAUACGUUACGUAUCGUGAAAGGUGUGUCGUGACACGUAUCGUACCGUAAGAGGUGUAUCGUGACACGUAUCAUAUCGUGAAAGGUGUAUCAUGAUACGUAUCGUACCGUAAGAGGUGUAUCGUGACACGUAUCGUAUCGUGAAAGGUGUAUCGUGACACGUAUCGUAUCGUAAAAGGUUGUAUCGUGAUACAUAUCGUAUCGUGAAAGGUUGUAUCGUGAAAGGUUGUAUCGUGAUACGUAUCAUACCGUAAGAGGUGUAUCGUGAUACGUAUCGUAUCGUGAAAGGUGUAUCGUGACACAUAUCGUAUCAUAAAAGGUUGUAUCGUGAUACAUAUCGUAUCGUGAAAGGUGUAUCGUGAUACGUAUCGUAUCGUGAAAGGUGUAUCGUGAUACACAUCGUAUCAUAAAAGGUUGUAUCAUGAUACGUAUCGUAUCGUGAAAGGUGUAUCGUGACAUGCAUCGUAUCAUAAAAGGUUGUAUCGUGAUACAUAUCAUAUCGUGAAAGGUUGUAUCGUGAUACGUAUCGUAUCGUGAAAGGUGUAUCGUGAUACGUAUCGUAUCGUGAAAGGUGUAUCGUGAUACACAUCGUAUCAUAAAAGGUUGUAUCGUGAUACGUAUCGUAUCGUGAAAGGUGUAUCGUGAUACGUAUCGUAUCGUGAAAGGUUUGUCGUGACACGCAUCGUAUCGUAAAAGGUUGUAUCGUGAUACGUAUCGUAUCGUGAAA
RNAcentral lists this long non-coding RNA (1978 nucleotides) under Priapulus caudatus. Its description in RNAcentral is "uncharacterized LOC106819132, transcript variant X3". The record is from RNAcentral. Lineage: Eukaryota; Metazoa; Priapulida; Priapulimorpha; Priapulimorphida; Priapulidae.